GAUGAACGCUGGCGGCGUGCCUAAUACAUGCAAGUCGAGCGAACAGACGAGGAGCUUGCUCCUCUGACGUUAGCGGCGGACGGGUGAGUAACACGUGGAUAACCUACCUAUAAGACUGGGAUAACUUCGGGAAACCGGAGCUAAUACCGGAUAAUAUAUUGAACCGCAUGGUUCAAUAGUUAAAGACGGUUUUGCUGUCACUUAUAGAUGGAUCCGCGCCGCAUUAGCUAGUUGGUAAGGUAACGGCUUACCAAGGCGACGAUGCGUAGCCGACCUGAGAGGGUGAUCGGCCACACUGGAACUGAGACACGGUCCAGACUCCUACGGGAGGCAGCAGUAGGGAAUCUUCCGCAAUGGGCGAAAGCCUGACGGAGCAACGCCGCGUGAGUGAUGAAGGUCUUCGGAUCGUAAAACUCUGUUAUUAGGGAAGAACAAAUGUGUAAGUAACUAUGCACGUCUUGACGGUACCUAAUCAGAGAGCCACGGCUAACUACGUG
This 497-nucleotide ribosomal RNA is filed under the name uncultured bacterium. RNAcentral describes it as "partial 16S ribosomal RNA". It matches the Rfam family "Bacterial small subunit ribosomal RNA", at positions 28 to 507 of the family's 1533-position model. The record is from RNAcentral.